RNAcentral lists this ribosomal RNA (112 nucleotides) under Caerostris darwini. The record is from RNAcentral. Lineage: Eukaryota; Metazoa; Arthropoda; Arachnida; Araneae; Araneidae.
AUGGCCAUACCAUGCUGAAUAUACCGGUUCUCGUUAGAUCACCGAAGUCAAGCAUCACUGGGCGCGGUCAGUAUUUGGGUGGGUGACCACCUGGGAACACCGCGUGCCGUUA